RNAcentral lists this long non-coding RNA (760 nucleotides) under Rosa chinensis. Its description in RNAcentral is "sRNA RchiOBHm_Chr1g0383481". Lineage: Eukaryota; Viridiplantae; Streptophyta; Magnoliopsida; Rosales; Rosaceae. The record is from RNAcentral.
AUGCAUGAAUUAAGUAUGGGGGAAGGAUUAUUGCUUUAUUGUUUGAUGUUGGAUUGUGUUUUUAAUUGAUGUUGUGAUACACUAAGGUAUAUUGGAUUAAACAUAGUCUUGAAAAAGGGUAGCUGUUUCAGUCCCAUUGCACAUCGAGACUCCCUGUUCCCGUACCUAAGUGUUGAAAUUAAAUUAAAUUGUAAAAAAAAAAAAAAAUGUUGGUUUUAGAGUGUUUUUGUGUGUUUGAAUCUUAGGAUGCUCCUAACGUCUAGGAUGAACAUGUCUCCGAAUUCAUGGCUGAAGGUUUUCACAAUCAAAAUAGGACUUAAUUGAAUUCUGUGGUUAAUCGACAUUGUGAUGCUUGUAUGAAGAUUUGAGAUAGGAUUGUAACUUGGUUCAUUAAGCAUGCUAGGAUUAAGUCUGAUUCAUUUGACCCAAGUGAGCUGUUGAGCUAAAAUACUUUCUUUUUGAGUGCUUACUGAUAAUUUCAGAAUUUCAUGGCUGUAUUUGCAAAACCUCAUCUUUCUUUGAAAAUCCAAUGAUCAUGUGCCAUAGAUUUUAAUGGACUAGAGAGUACUAGAACUCGGCUGUUGUGACUGUCAAAACUUGUAUGCCAUAAUAUGCACUGAUCCUGGAUAGGAUAGAAGGCAUUAGGGUAACCACCAAAGCCAAACAAGCAUGUGUCCCCAAUUGUGCCCGUCGUGGGACUCCUUAGAAUGAACCCCUUUGAGCCUACGUUGAAAACCUUUGUUUCAUCACCCUCACUACC